AAGUCGUAACAAGGUUUCCGUAGGUGAACCUGCGGAAGGAUCAUUAACACGUAUCCAACGUUAAACAACCCUGUGAACUUUAAGUCCCCUCUUGCAGCCCAUGAGGAACAGCAAUCCCGGUAAAUCAUUGCCAAACAGUUUUGAUUCGGGACCUCUGUCCAAAAGGAGUUGCAAUCGAAGGGUGGAAGCAGUGGCAUGGCUUCCCCAAGCAGUUAGUGAAUGACAGUGUCACUGACGGUCGAUCACCGACCGGCAGACAUGUCACAGGGUCACCACGCCCCUUAAUCACUCCACUUGAAAAUGCCCCGCCUAGUGGUAACGCGCUAGGUAAAAAAAACCGAACAACUGUUAACAAUGGAUAUCUUGGUUCUC
Molecule: unclassified non-coding RNA, 372 nt
Filed under: fungal sp.
Lineage: Eukaryota; Fungi
Description: partial internal transcribed spacer region
Rfam family: Eukaryotic small subunit ribosomal RNA (bases 1-46)
Source: RNAcentral